RNAcentral lists this ribosomal RNA (497 nucleotides) under uncultured bacterium. Its description in RNAcentral is "partial 16S ribosomal RNA". It matches the Rfam family "Bacterial small subunit ribosomal RNA", at positions 28 to 507 of the family's 1533-position model. The record is from RNAcentral.
GAUGAACGCUGGCGGCGUGCCUAAUACAUGCAAGUCGAGCGAACAGACGAGGAGCUUGCUCCUCUGACGUUAGCGGCGGACGGGUGAGUAACACGUGGAUAACCUACCUAUAAGACUGGGAUAACUUCGGGAAACCGGAUCUAAUACCGUAUAAUAUAUUGAACCGCAUGGUUCAAUAGUGAAAGACGGUUUUGCUUUCACUUAUAGAUGGAUCCGCGCCGCAUUAGCUAGUUGGUAAGGUAACGGCUUACCAAGGCAACGAUGCGUAGCCGACCUGAGAGGGUGAUCGGCCACACUGGAACUGAGACAGGGUCCAGACUGCUACGGGAGGCAGCAGUAGGGAAUCUUACGCAAUGGGCGAAAGCCUGACAGAGCAAAGCCGCGUGAGUGAUGAAGGUCUUAGGAUCGUAAAACUCUGUUAUUAGGGAAGAACAAAUGUGUAAGUAACUAUGAACGUAUUGACGGUACCUAAUAAGAAAGCCACGGCUAACUACGUG